AUGCCUGUUCCAAAUGAAAAACCUUUGCAACCUUCACCCUAUAAGCUGGGAGAUUUGGUUUAUAUCCACAGGUUCGACUCCAACACCCUAGAACUGCGUUGGAAAGGACCAGUUCCAGUUGUCCUGGUAGCUGGACAUUCUGCCUGGAUACAUCGCAACCAUCUGAAACCAGGACCCCGCACAGAUGUCACAAAGGAUAAAUGGAAGGUCAUCAGCCAACCAGGAGACCAAAAGCUAAGAAUGAAACAGGGUGGGUGCCACGACCACUCCAGUGGAGUCUGCGUGACAAUGCCGGUCACCUGGCAGAAACCAGACCAGAGGGAAAACUGCUUCAACCCAAAAUGCUUUUAAGAUCUUAGAACAUCUUGUAGGCAUCUGUUAACCAUCAAUGUGUGGCUGCUGAAUACGUGACAGCUGGCCACCAGUGCGAAUCAGCAGACCAUUGACCUUUGCCACCUGACUGCAAGCUUUGACUGUUAACUCCCCCUGUGUCCCCUUAUAAGAAGACCUCAGCCCCU
Molecule: long non-coding RNA, 518 nt
Filed under: Fukomys damarensis (Damara mole-rat)
Lineage: Eukaryota; Metazoa; Chordata; Mammalia; Rodentia; Bathyergidae
Description: lncRNA (ENSFDAG00000030368.1)
Source: RNAcentral